AAAGGAAGUGGCAGAAAAGCUAAAUCUUAAAGCAAAGUCAUACUGGAAAGAGUCCUGCAUAUGCCAAAAUAUCUUCCAUGGAGGGUUACUAGAAGAAAUGUGCCUGGAGAGGAACCAUGGCGGGGGGAAAUGGAAGAAAUAAAGGUGGCUUACAAAGGCUGCGUGUGCUGUCAGAGAUCUGGAAGAGCUAAAUCUGCCAGCAGUUAAGGGAGGCAAUGAGUUAUUCAGAAAAGAGCCCUGGGCCUGCAGGCAGUGGAUAUGGGUUCGAGGCCAGCCUUUGACAUCAAUAAGCUGAAAGAUCUUGGAGUCACCUAAUCUCUUGAGAACUUAUUUUUCCCACUUGUAAAAUGAGAGGAUUGAAUUAUAUGAUGUGCGAUGGAUUUACCAACUUCAAAAAGUUAUGAUUGUAGAGUCUAAUUAUAUUUCGAGCCUUAUUAGAAAGCUAUCACGGAUACGGGAACAACUCCAGUGGACCCGCCAAAGCAGGAAAAGUCCAAGGAGGAAUGCUGGCACUUAACGCCUAACCCUAAACAUCAAAAUUGGCAGCAAUAGUAUUAACCUGCUAAUUUAUUUUGUACUUCUCUUCCUUGCAAUUAAAUCAGGUGAGGAAUAAAAGGAAGAUUCUGAGGCAAUAAAGAGAUCAAAGAAAAAAAUUGGAAGCAAAAGAUUCUUCUAAAUUUUCUUACUCCUCAAUUAGAGGUUAUAUCUGCAGGACUGCUUUGAUACUAGAUUACGGAUUCGAAGAAAUAAACCAAUAACAUCAUAUUGUUUGAGGCAACUGAACCAUGUUUCCCUCCCACACUUUCUGGUCACCUUAAGUCCAGGACAACUUUAUUCUCUCCAUUCAAAUGAUGAUCAUCUGCCUCUCUGACCUUAACAUACAACAACAAAGAGAGAGCACUGCUGUUGAGACCAACCCAAUUAUCUGUCACUGUUUUCUUUACAUGUAUCACAGAGACCCAGGAAUAGGUAUUCCAGAUCUCUAAAAAGACAAUGCCUCUGUCCUUCCAAAAUGUAUCGAAAUCCAAAAUUUUCAGUACAGGCAUUUUGGGUAUUGGUAGGGGCAGUUCUGCUCCCC
RNAcentral lists this long non-coding RNA (1078 nucleotides) under Macaca fascicularis (crab-eating macaque). RNAcentral describes it as "lncRNA (ENSMFAG00000065523.1)". Lineage: Eukaryota; Metazoa; Chordata; Mammalia; Primates; Cercopithecidae. The record is from RNAcentral.